CUAGCGUUGUUCGGAAUUACUGGGCGUAAAGCGCACGUAGGCGGCUUUGUAAGUUAGAGGUGAAAGCCCGGGGCUCAACUCCGGAACUGCCUUUAAGACUGCAUCGCUUGAAUCCAGGAGAGGUGAGUGGAAUUCCGAGUGUAGAGGUGAAAUUCGUAGAUAUUCGGAAGAACACCAGUGGCGAAGGCGGCUCACUGGACUGGUAUUGACGCUGAGGUGCGAAAGCGUGGGGAGCAAACAGG
RNAcentral lists this ribosomal RNA (242 nucleotides) under uncultured bacterium. Its description in RNAcentral is "partial 16S ribosomal RNA". It matches the Rfam family "Bacterial small subunit ribosomal RNA", at positions 535 to 776 of the family's 1533-position model. The record is from RNAcentral.